Molecule: non-coding RNA, 108 nt
Organism: Acanthosepion pharaonis
Lineage: Eukaryota; Metazoa; Mollusca; Cephalopoda; Sepiida; Sepiidae
Source: the annotation of a GenBank genome assembly
UUAUGGCCAUAUCACAUUGAAACACUAGUUCCUGUACGAUCACUGAAGUUAAGCAAUGUUGAGCCUGGUCAGUAUCUAGAUGGGUAACUGCUUGGUAAUACCAGGCAC